Molecule: long non-coding RNA, 1797 nt
Organism: Siniperca chuatsi (mandarin fish)
Lineage: Eukaryota; Metazoa; Chordata; Actinopteri; Centrarchiformes; Sinipercidae
Exons: 3
Source: RefSeq, a predicted model, not a curated record
GGAUGGGACGUGAACCUUGGUCUCCCGCAUGAAGGAGCUGAGCUCUAUCCUUGAGGCCUGUUUGUGUUGUCGUAUGACCGGUUUUAGGACCCAAAUGCAGAACACACGGGACAGAGCACAGUAAGUUGAACACAGCCUUUAUUGGACAGAUAGUAGCAGAGAAGUGAGUAUUUCGGCGUAGUUGGUGGCCACCUUGGGGACUCGACCGGGCCGGGUCGGGUACGGGACUGGCGGCGCUCUGGACGGAGACGAGGCGAGCUGGCUCUGGACUGGCGAGCGUAGUGGAGGUGGCUGAGCCGACCAGGCAGAGGACUAGUGAAGCCACACGUGUAGUGCGGGUAGCUGGCAGGCUAUGGAGGCGGAAUCGGCUGGACGACUUAAUGUCUUUCAAGUGGAUUGGACAACAUCAUGACCAAGUGACCACAGGCCAGCGCACACGAACCUGGCACAGCUAACUAAUGCUGCAUUCACAGACAAAAGGACUUGAACUCACGGUGACGUAAUUACAGCAGAGCACUGCAACAAACUGAGCUAACAGAGGGGUUCAGCAGUGCCAAGUUCAUCUGUACUGCUGGUCUAAAACAUGCUGCCAAAUGCUCUCUUUUGCUUUAAUUGCUGUAGUUUUGUUCAUUUUUUUCUGUAAUUUUUCACUCUAUAUUAUGUUUAAUAUGUGUUGCUUUGUAACUGCGAACAUUGCAGUUUUGUCUUAACAUGUCCAUUUUCUUCACUGUGAAUUAAUGGGAUCAGCGCUUGAUGUCUCACGUCUGUGUUUCAAAUGCAUGAAAUAAACCAGACUUCACUUAGAGUGUUCACAUUAGCUCCAAACCAUAUGAAACAGACUGAUCUUGGUUCGGUUUGUUAGGUUAAUUCAAGACGUGCUUUUCUCAAUAAGCCGUGCUUUACUGAACCUUUAUGAAACACCCCUCAGGAAGUUGCCCUCAAAUGACCAACAAAGUGUAAACACCAGAGGAAAACUGGGAGUUUCGAGCUACCUACGCGCUGAGAUAUUUAAAUAACUCAUGAUCAGUGGACCAGGUUAAUGGUACAUACAUCCCUGUAACUUUAAAGUAUAGGCCGUGAACAAACAAUGGAGUUUAUUUCUGGUGUCCAUUAUUUACAUCCUGCAGUAGCUCCUUCAUUGGUGUGUUCAAAGUCAAAUAUUUGCCUGUGACUGAUUAUUACCUGAAUGCAAAUACCUGGGAAAUAUGUCAGGAUCCUGUGACAUUUCCUGUUCAAAAGAAUCGCCUGAUUGCACCACUAAACAAUGUUCUGGCACACAAUGGAUUAUGGGAUACUGAAGGGCGCUUGUGACGUCCAACUUUAGAUUGUUGCAUUUCCCCCCUGCAUUUGAAGGAGCCUUUGAAAUGGGGUAGGCCUUGUGUUUGGUUUUAUAAUGUUGAGCUGCUUGUGUUCCUGCACACUAAGAACAGGUUCCACAUUUAAAGCAAAUAAGGAGAAUGAACUGAACAAUCGUUGGCAGUAGUUUCCAGCUGAAAAGGACAUCUGCAGGCACCUCAUGUUCAUUCAUAUUUCCAUACACCAUCACACACCAGUGUUUACAGUACACAACCCUAUAAGUCAUGAGGCUUGGUGACAUAGCAAAACUGCACCAGCAGGUAAAUGCAUUGCUUAUUUAGUGACUUUGUCAAGUUCUGUUAUUCAAGUAAGGUGCAGCAACAUUAUCAAAUAAAGAAAAGCCUUUUCCUGUUCUUUGUUGUUUCGCCUGUAAUCCAGUUCAUGAAAGGCUCCUCUGUUAGUGCUACACUGCAGAGGAAGAGAUGUGUAUCAUGUUUAAUA